This 305-nucleotide ribosomal RNA is filed under the name uncultured bacterium. Its description in RNAcentral is "bacterial SSU rRNA". It matches the Rfam family "Bacterial small subunit ribosomal RNA", at positions 335 to 638 of the family's 1533-position model. The record is from RNAcentral.
AACCUACGGGAGGCAGCAGUGAGGAAUAUUGGUCAAUGGGCUUACGCCUGAACCAGCCAAGUCGCGUGAGGGAAGACUGCUCUAUGGGUUGUAAACCUCUUUUGUCAGGGAGCAAUUGGCGCUACGUGUAGCGUUAUCGAGAGUACCUGAAGAAAAAGCAUCGGCUAACUCCGUGCCAGCAGCCGCGGUAAUACGGAGGAUGCGAGCGUUAUCCGGAUUUAUUGGGUUUAAAGGGUGCGUAGGCGGGAUGCCAAGUCAGCGGUCAAAUACGGGGGCUCAACCUGCGUCCGCCGUUGAAACUGGCG